UACAUCUUGGUGUAUGGUGCACGGUGGCUUUUGAUGCUUGCAAGAGAUAGUUUAAUUCUGUUGGAUGUAA
RNAcentral lists this transfer RNA (70 nucleotides) under Araujotermes parvellus. Its description in RNAcentral is "tRNA-Gln". The record is from RNAcentral. Lineage: Eukaryota; Metazoa; Arthropoda; Insecta; Blattodea; Termitidae.